GGGCCGUUAGCUCAAUUGGUAGAGCAGCUGACUCUUAAUCAGCGGGUUGUAGGUUCGAGUCCUACACGGCCCACCA
Molecule: transfer RNA, 76 nt
Filed under: Deinococcus rubellus
Lineage: Bacteria; Thermotogati; Deinococcota; Deinococci; Deinococcales; Deinococcaceae
Description: tRNA-Lys
Rfam family: tRNA
About the family: Transfer RNA (tRNA) molecules are approximately 80 nucleotides in length.
Source: RNAcentral